This 406-nucleotide ribosomal RNA is filed under the name uncultured bacterium. RNAcentral's name for it is "partial 16S ribosomal RNA". It matches the Rfam family "Bacterial small subunit ribosomal RNA", at positions 30 to 526 of the family's 1533-position model. The record is from RNAcentral.
AUUGAACGCUGGCGGCAGGCCUAACACAUGCAAGUCGAACGAGUGGCGGACGGGUGAGUAAUGUCUGGGAAACUGCCCGAUGGAGGGGGAUAACUACUGGAAACGGUAGCUAAUACCGCAUACCAUCGGAUGUGCCCAUAUGGGAUUAGCUAGUAGGUGGGGUAACGGCUCACCUAGGCGACGAUCCCUAGCUGGUCUGAGAGGAUGACCAGCAAAACUGGAACUGAGACACGGGCCAGACGCCUACGGGAGGCAGCAGUGGGGAAUAUUGCACAAGGGGCGAAAGCCGGAUGCAGCCAUGCCGCGUGUAUGAAGAAGGCCUUCGGGUUGUAAAGUACUUUCAGCGGGGAGGCGUUACUCGCAGAAGAAGCACCGGCUAACUCCGUGCCAGCAGCCGCGGUAAUUC